This 1821-nucleotide ribosomal RNA is filed under the name Triticum aestivum (bread wheat). RNAcentral describes it as "partial small subunit ribosomal RNA". Lineage: Eukaryota; Viridiplantae; Streptophyta; Magnoliopsida; Poales; Poaceae. The record is from RNAcentral.
AUGCUGCUCCGGCUACGCGUCGGCGUCACCCGGCGAUCCGCGGCCCUCCUCGCCGCCGUCCCCCGCGGCGACGCCCCCGCCGCGCUCCCCCUCCCCCGUCGCCUCCACGACGCCGCCGAUCACCGCCCGAAACCAGGGGGUCCUCUAACGCUCUACAGGGACCUGGUGAGCCAAGGGAAGCUCCGGCAUGACGUGUACCAGGAAAAUGUUGCCUCCGAGCUAGACAGCUUGCUCGGCAGGCUCAAGCGGUACGAGAUGGAGAUGGAGGAUUACCAUACAAAGCUGUCUAUGUGGGACAAUACCAGGGAGAAAGAACGGCGGCGGCUUCUCCUCGAAGAAGCCGAGGAUAAGCAGCACGAUGGGGUGUGGAUAGACGAGAAAAGGGGAUUUCUCGAUAAGUUGAUUUCACGGAAAAGAAGAGCUAAUAUAGAGCCUGGAGUUGGAAGAUGGGUUUCAUAUUUGAACAGAGAGAGGAAACUAGAUAAUUUGGUUGGCCAGAAACCAGUUGCACCUGUUGCUCCAAAAGGAUUAUACCUUUACGGGAAUGUUGGAAGUGGCAAGACAAUGUUGAUGGACAUGUUUUAUGGGGCCACAGAAGGUGUCAUCAAACACAGGAGGAGGUUUCACUUUCAUGAGGCUAUGCUUGAAAUACACGACCAUAUGCAUGAUGUGUGGAAGAGACGUGAUGAUGGCAAGUCUAUGGAAUCAAGUGCUUUCAGUUGGAUAUCAGGCCUCCCUUUCGAUGCAAAAAUCAAGGAAUGGCUGAUCGGGGAGGAAAAGUAUAAACAAGAUAAACAUCAAAAACAUAUCCUGUUAGCUGUCGCUGACAAGUUCCUUGUCGAUAGACAAGCAAAUAAAUGUGGUGCAAGCAUUCUAUGCUUUGACGAGAUACAGACUAUUGAUGUAUUCGCUAUUGUUGCCCUGUCUGGUAUUCUCAGCAGACUAUUAAGCACUGGGACUGUGCUUGUUGCUACCAGCAAUAAAGCACCAGAAGAUCUGAAUCAGGAUGGGAUGCAACGCGAAAUCUUCCUUGAGUUAUUAUCUAAGCUAGACGAGACCUGCAAUAAGAUUCUUGUUGGAACUGAAACGGAUUAUCGCCGCCUUAUUCCUACGGAUGGCUCAACUCAGAUUCACUAUUAUUGGCCUACCAAUCCUGACACAAGGAAUAUGUUUGAGGCUAUGUGGCAUGACAUAACUAACCAGACAGGAGGAAACAUUACUGCAGUUACUAUUCCUGUAAUGUUUGGAAGGUCUAUUGAGAUUCCUCAAAGUUGUAGCGGUGUGGCAAGGUUUGACUUCGAGUAUUUAUGUGGACGCCCAGUCGGAGCUGCAGAUUAUAUAGCAAUAGCCAGGAACUACCAUACAAUUUUCAUAUCAGACCUUCCAGCUAUGAGUAUGAAGAUCCGUGACAAGGCAAGAAGAUUCAUCACCCUUAUUGAUGAGAUGUACAAUCAUCACUGCCGCCUUAUAUGUUUAGCUACCUUACCCAUUGACAAUCUAUUUCAAGGAACUGAGGAAGGGCCUCUUUUUGAUUUAGAGAGUUUCCAGUUUGAAACUGAAGCCGAAGGGUCAAAGUUAAGGAGGGAUGUUUCCGCAGAAGGCAAUGUUGGUGCAGGGCCCUCUACUAGAGGUCUGGUGUCAAUGCUGUCUGGUCAAGAAGAGAUGUUCGCGUUCCGAAGGGCGAUAUCCCGGCUCAUAGAAAUGCAGACCCCGCUGUAUCUCGAGCGCGUCCAGCAUGUCCAUUCUUCCGCCCUUCAACAACAGCAGGGCACCCCUGUUCUCACAAAACAGAGCACUGUAUCUCAGUCUGCUCCCUUGUAG